This 253-nucleotide ribosomal RNA is filed under the name uncultured bacterium. RNAcentral's name for it is "partial 16S ribosomal RNA". It matches the Rfam family "Bacterial small subunit ribosomal RNA", at positions 524 to 776 of the family's 1533-position model. The record is from RNAcentral.
UACAGAGGGUGCAAGCGUUAAUCGGAAUUACUGGGCGUAAAGCGUGCGUAGACGGUUAUGUAAGUCAGAUGUGAAAGCCCCGGGCUCAACCUGGGAAUUGCAUUUGAGACUGCAUAGCUAGGGUGCGGAAGAGGCAAGUGGAAUUCCUGGUGUAGCGGUGGAAUGCGCAGAUAUCAGGAGGAACACCCAUAGCGAAGGCAGCUUGCUGGGACGUUACUGACGCUAAGGCGCGAAAGCGUGGGGAGCGAACAGG